AUGGGAGAUACAACGGCGGCCAUGCUGCUCCCGGACGACAUCAUCCUCGAGAUACUCCUCCGCGUCUCUACCGAUUCCGCUACCCUGUUCCGCUGCGCUGCCACGAGCAAGCGGUGGCGCGCUCUCAUAGCUGACCGCCCCUUCCUCCAAAGCUGCUGGACGGCGAACGCUAGACACCCGUCACUCCGCCUUGGCUUCUUGAUUCAGCAACAAUGCAACAAGGAGGACAUCAACUCCCCUUACCCGCCGCUCUUCGUCCCGCCACUGGGGUCGGUACGGUGCUCGGCGCUCGCCACCGCCUCCUCACCGACAUCCUAUCUCGCGUCCCGGAUGGCCUCUUGGAUGGUGCGAAGCCACUUGCUGAGCGCCAUGGCCUACUCGUCGGGCGGCUUCUCGCUGCUCCAAUGGAAAUAUGAUAAUGCGGUCGUGUGUCGUGGAGUGGCACACUGGCUCGCCUGGUACUUAUCGGAAGUCGGAGCCUCAACUAAAUAUUACUCCUUAGACGUGAGUGCCGAGACCGACCUUGUCUCCUUGAAAGAGAUCUCAGUCCCUUUUUACCAACUUCCCGACAAUAGUAGCAUGCUGCCAAUGCUCAGCGUCGCCGCGGACGGGUCUCUCGCAAUGUUUUGCGCGCGCAAGGAAUUUGGCAUUUGGUACAUAGACAUGUGGACGCGGGGAAACGACACCGAUAGUGGAGUCUGGCUCCGCACUAAGGCGGUCAAACUAAAUGUUGAGGUUCGCCCUUAUGCACGCAUGUGGCGCAAAGAGAAGGGUGGUACGCUUCUCAUCAUAGACGAUUCAUGGGUCGUGCGGUGGGUUGAUAUCGAAAACCUAAGAAUGGAAGUAGAACAUUUCCCGGGUGGCAUAGCCAAGAUCAACAAGUACUCCCUACAAGCUGCCAGCCAUGGCCGCAACGAACCACCGCAUUGUGCCGCUCCUUCUGCUCCUGGCACUAUUCUCGCUGGCCGCGGCCGGGCAUCCGUCGCCGCCGUCGGACAAGCAAUGCCCUCCGACCCCACCCACGCCGCCGACCCCGCCGACACCACCGACGCCGCCCGGGGGGCAGACCCCGCCGACACCACCCACCCCUGCUACCCCGCCUACCCCGCCGUGCCGAAGGUUGACACGGUGAAGCUGCUAGUGUACGUACCACAGUACGUAGUGCUGCCCAUCGCCAUGGAGGCGCUGGACAACAAGUGCGGCUGCGGUCCUCCACCUUCCACUGCCCUUAAGUCCCUAAAAACUAGUACCACCUUCCACCUUUGUCUUGGCCUCUUGGGUUUGUACUAA
RNAcentral lists this ribosomal RNA (1290 nucleotides) under Triticum aestivum (bread wheat). RNAcentral's name for it is "partial small subunit ribosomal RNA". The record is from RNAcentral. Lineage: Eukaryota; Viridiplantae; Streptophyta; Magnoliopsida; Poales; Poaceae.